This 441-nucleotide ribosomal RNA is filed under the name uncultured bacterium. Its description in RNAcentral is "partial 16S ribosomal RNA". It matches the Rfam family "Bacterial small subunit ribosomal RNA", at positions 338 to 795 of the family's 1533-position model. The record is from RNAcentral.
ACUACGGGUGGCAGCAGUGGGGAAUAUUGCACAAUGGGGGAAACCCUGAUGCAGCAACGCCGCGUGAAGGAAGACGGUUUUAGGAUUGGAAACUUCUGUUCUUAGUGAAGAAGAAUGACGGUAGCUAAGGAGCAAGCCACGGCUAACCACGUGCAAGCAGCCGCGGUAAUACGGAGGUGGCAAGCGUUGUCCGGAAUUACUGGGUGUAAAGGGAGCGCAGGCGGGAAGCCAAGUCAGCUGUGAAAACUACGGGCUUAAAUUGUAGACUGCAGUUGAAACUGGUUUUCUUGAGUGAAGUAGAGGGUGGCGGAAUUCGGGGUGUAGCGGUGAAAUGCGUAGAUAUUCGGAGGAACACCGGUGGCGAAGGCGGCCAACUGGGCUUUAACUGACGCUGAGGCUCGAAAGUGUGGGGAGCAAACAGGAUUAGAUACCCGGGUAGUC